RNAcentral lists this ribosomal RNA (253 nucleotides) under uncultured bacterium. Its description in RNAcentral is "partial 16S ribosomal RNA". It matches the Rfam family "Bacterial small subunit ribosomal RNA", at positions 524 to 776 of the family's 1533-position model. The record is from RNAcentral.
UACGGAGGGUGCAAGCGUUAUCCGGAUUUACUGGGUUUAAAGGGUGCGUAGGUGGGUCUGUAAGUCAGUGGUGAAAUCUCCGAGCUUAACUCGGAAACUGCCAUUGAUACUAUAGAUCUUGAAUUAUCUGGAGGUAAGCGGAAUAUGUCAUGUAGCGGUGAAAUGCUUAGAUAUGACAUAGAACACCAAUUGCGAAGGCAGCUUACUACGGAUCGAUUGACACUGAGGCACGAAAGCGCGGGGAUCAAACAGG